Molecule: transfer RNA, 62 nt
Filed under: Eudiplozoon nipponicum
Lineage: Eukaryota; Metazoa; Platyhelminthes; Monogenea; Mazocraeidea; Diplozoidae
Description: tRNA-Met
Source: RNAcentral
GAGGUAAGUUAAUUUAAACUGUAUGACUCAUGAUCAUAAAAUAUAAUAUUUUAUCCUUUCUU